RNAcentral lists this long non-coding RNA (396 nucleotides) under Brassica napus (rape). RNAcentral describes it as "long non-coding RNA (BNAP_LNC009046)". The record is from RNAcentral. Lineage: Eukaryota; Viridiplantae; Streptophyta; Magnoliopsida; Brassicales; Brassicaceae.
GAUAUAUAAUAUUCCUUAGCAAUCAUAUCGUUUAAAUAUUAAAACUGAAAGACAUUCUUCCUCACAAAGUUGUGGACCAGGGUACCCAAAUUCAUGAAUAUACAGGGGGUUUUAUUUCCAAAUAAUCUAAUAGUUAAGUUUACUUAAUUAGUAUAUGACAUGAGAGAGCUUGAUGCCGACAAAUUCUUAAUGAUCACUUUGGAUUUAUUAUUAAAGAAAUAAUAGGUGAAGAUGUAAUUAUUUCUUAGAAAGGAGUCAAGGAGUAAGGACAACCAAAAAGCAGCAUAUAUAUACAGUUAUAAUAUCUUGGGCCCUAAUAUCUUUUGUUUUAAUGCCGAAAGAUUAUAUUCCCUCUGUUCUUAAAUAUAUGGUGUUUAGAAUAGUUUUUAUGUUCCA